This 205-nucleotide ribosomal RNA is filed under the name uncultured Desulfocapsa sp. Its description in RNAcentral is "partial 16S ribosomal RNA". It matches the Rfam family "Bacterial small subunit ribosomal RNA", at positions 1179 to 1382 of the family's 1533-position model. Lineage: Bacteria; Pseudomonadati; Thermodesulfobacteriota; Desulfobulbia; Desulfobulbales; Desulfocapsaceae. The record is from RNAcentral.
AUGACGUCAAGUCCUCAUGGCCUUUAUUGACCAGGGCUACACACGUACUACAAUGGCCGGUACAAAGGGCAGCGACACAGCGAUGUGAAGCCAAUCCCGAAAAGCCGGUCUCAGUCCGGAUUGGAGUCUGCAACUCGACUCCAUGAAGUUGGAAUCGCUAGUAAUCGCGGAUCAGCACGCCGCGGUGAAUACGUUCCCGGGCCUU